This 3309-nucleotide long non-coding RNA is filed under the name Lactuca sativa (garden lettuce). RNAcentral describes it as "long non-coding RNA (LSAT_LNC006168)". The record is from RNAcentral. Lineage: Eukaryota; Viridiplantae; Streptophyta; Magnoliopsida; Asterales; Asteraceae.
GGUCUUCAAUAAUCGUAGCUAGCCUCUCGAAAAAGUUAGGGUUCGAAAGAGAAGUGUUUCUAUAUAUAAAUUCUGAAAACAGGGCCAACUUGUCGAGUUUUUUUAUAAUCCGUGUAUACAACGUGUACGGCAAGGCAUCUUCGAAUCUGGAACAUUCUGACCAACUCGUCGAGUUCUCUUGGAAUCAACAUUUUCUCAAAACAUGAAAGUCGUCCGAAAUUGUAUGUAGUUUUCAGAACAUUUUGAAUCUUGUCAACCAGAGUUACGUUUCAUGAGAUAUGGCUAAAACACUGACAAGUGGUCAAGCUGUCCAGCAACAUCAUUAUUACUUCAAAAUCCAAGAUCCAAGCUUUCAAUCGCCAAUUCCGCUUCCUUUUCCUUCCGAGCACGUCUUUAUUGCUGAAAAUGAAAUAUUUAAGCUAAUUAAGCACCUUUUGUUCAUUAAAUGAGAUAAAAUCAACAUAAAGUAUUAAGAUAAUGCAUGCAAUUUAUAACUAAAUAUGCCCAUAUCAGUCGCAGGUGUUUUUGGCGUACGCCUAACGUAGAGGAGGUAUGCGCAGUGUACGUCCAUUGUUCAGAAACCCCAACUUUUAGGGUGAGCCACUAUUUAAAGAAGAUAAUGGCUCAAACCCUAGCCUCCUUAUCUAUCUCCCAGCCUUAGAGAAACCAUAGAACGCCUCAUCUAUUCAUCCUUGGGUGAUUUUGACUUCAAGAAGCUCAUUUUGGUGGUGUAAGCUUGGAAAAGGAAAAGAAGAAGUUGGCAAGGAAGAACUUGGGAAGUUAGAGCUCAUAGAUCUGGGGUAGCAUCAUCAUUUGGGACUCCUUGGAGGUAUAAAGUUCAUAACUUUACUUAAGAAUGCUUAGAUCUAGUGUAGUGUAGUUUUGGAGUCAUUUUGGUCCCAAAAAUGGACCUUUAUGAUGAAAUCUUGUUUGUGAGCUUAGGGUUGCCACCCUUAGAGCUAAAAGUGUCCCAUAAGCAGUAAAGUCUCCAUCUUGAAUGUAUUAAUGGGUUCAUGCAUGAGAUCUAGCACUCUUUAUGGAAGUGGAAUAUCAUUUUUGGGAGUUUGGGCUUGUUUGGGCCAAGUAAAGUCACCAAGUUAGUGACUUUAUGGAUUAAGACGUGGAACAGGACUUAGAUCUGUGUUUGUAGCUUCUGGAAUAGAGUAUUAAGCACUUAAUGGGAAAGUGACUUAACAGGGAAAGUACGUUGAGUGUACAUGCAGGUACGCCCAACGUACACACCAUUUAGCUAGUACACUUAUCGUAUAUAGGAGUAUGCCCCCACGUACUCUGUUAGUUUGGGCUUCGUAUUCUUGGGCCUCAGAUUGGGCUAUGCUUUGGACUUUGGGCCUUAGUGGGCCAACAGAAGUCAGAUGAUGUGGGCCAAGAAGAUGUUUGGGCUUAGGGUAAGGCCCAUUAGAGGGAUUGGGCCCAAUUUAGCAAAUUGGGCCAUUAGUGGGCUUGGGAAGCUUACUUAGUAUUGGGCCUUAGUUUUAGGCCUUAGAUAUGGACCAAGUUGGACUAGGGGUAGAAUGGUCGUUUUAUCCUAAGAAGGAUUAUUGUAUUGGACUAAGUGAUGUUUGGUAUUGGUAGUUCGGGAAGCCGAAGGGUCAGCAAUUCGGGAAUUGCCAGUCAGUAGCCAAAGGAGUAUCAGUAGGGUUCAGCAGUGCAAGGUGAGUCUCUUCAUUGUGUGCAUGGGUCACGCCCACAGUGCCGACCCAUUAUACUUGUGUACAGUAGGAAGACCCGGGGGUUAUCCCUAAGCAUUUUAUGAUGUGUGCCAGGCGAGGCCCGAGGAAUGUUAGUAUGCUAGAGGUAGUUGUGAUUCUUGUAUGUGUCAGUGUUUAUAGGUUCUGGACCAAGGUCUGAUGCCGGGGAAAGCCCAAAGAGCGUUUAUGGUAGCAUGGUUUCGGACCAAGGUCCGAUGCCGGGGCAAGCUCGAGGAAGGUUUAUAUGUUGAAUGUUAGAUUAUACUUGUUGUAUUUGUGAUACUUGUAUGUGUCUGGUAGGGAGGUGAGUGUGGGCGAGGUCCCGUAUCUCAUCACUAUCCGAGUAUGGUCGGGGUUCCGUAUCUCAUUAGUAGCAGUGCAGGGGCGAGGACCGAGUUAGGAGGGAGGUGAGUGUGGGCGGGGGCCUGUAUCUCACUACCAGGAGGAGCAUGGACGGGGUUCCAUGACUCAUCAGUAGUAGGACAAGGGCGAGACCCAAGUUAGGCGAGGCCUUAGAUCGGGAGUAUAGUAGAGUAUGUUAACUAUUUGUUAUGUGUUAUGUUAUAUGUUUGUAUGUGUUUUUUGGGCGAGACCCAGAGACAGGAGGGGCCUAAGAGAAACAGAUUUGUAUACCGAGCGGGGCUCGAUGCCAAGCGGGGCCCGAUGCCGAAGCUAGUCCGAUGUUGGGCAAGUCCCGAUGCAGCGGGCGGGGGCCAAGUAUGUGGUUUUGUUUGUGGUAUGUGGUAGGUUGGGGAACUUACUAAGCUUCGUGCUUACAGUUUUCAGUUUUGAUUUCAGGUUAAAAAUAAAUAUAAAAUCAAAUGAAUUUUGAUCGUUAUCAUGUAAGUGUACUCCUAUGUUGUACCUUUUUUUUAUUAAUAAAGGGAAUGGUUUGUUGUCACAUAUUUUUUUCUAAUUAAUUUAUUUAAACAAUUAAAUUUUCAUAAAAAUUAAAAUUUUCAUUAUUUAAUUUAUUAAACAAUUAAAUUUUCAUAAAAAUUAUAAUUUUCAUUAUUUAAUUUAUUUAAACAAUUAAAUUUAGAUAUAAGCUAUUAUCUCCAUUAGUUAAAAUAGGAAAUUGGCCUCACACAUACAACUUUCAUAUUGCUUAAACUAUAUAACGUUCGCCUUAUCGUUUUAGCUAUGUGCAUCAUCACAAAUUUAAAUGUUGUCGAAGAUUAAAAUGUAAAAAGUUGGGAAUUAUAUCGAAUAAAAUUGAAAAAAAAGGUAGUUGCUCCUAUUGAAUAAAAUUGAAAAUAAAAAGUAUUUAAAAAAAAAAACUAGCUAAUUUGCUAAGAUGGAGAGAGAUGACAAGAUUGUGCCGAAUUGAUAUGCAAAAAUUAGAAUGCCGAAAAGACAAACCUAUUUUUGUUGAGCGUGUCGAAUUCCCUAUGGUGUUAAGUUGAAGGGAGUCAUGCAUUGGGGUGUCGAACUUCACAUCAUCCAUUACCAUAUCCAAUACAAUGUCGAGGAAAGAAAAACGGCAAGAUCUUAGUCGAAGAAGACAGAAAAACUCAACAUGUUGAACAACGGAUGUGGUGUUACUGAAUGAACGUCAUCUUUCACAUCCUCAGUGCCGAGUUUGUGAAAUCCCCGCUCC